ACGGGAGGCAGCGGUGGGGAAUAUUGGACAAUGGGGGAAACCCUGAUCCAGCGACGCCGCGUGAGUGAAGAAGUAUUUCGGUAUGUAAAGCUCUAUCAGCAAGGAAGAAAAUGACGGUACUUGACUAAGAAGCUCCGGCUAAUACGUGCCAGCAGCCGCGGUAAUACGUAUGGAGCAAGCGUUAUCCGGAUUUACUGGGUGUAAAGGGAGCGUAGACGGCAAAGCAAGUCUGAAGUGAAAUCCCGGGGCUCAACCCCGGAACUGCUCUGGAAACUGUUUAGCUAGAGUGCAGGAGAGGUAAGCGGAAUUCCUAGUGUAGCGGUGAAAUGCGUAGAUAUUAGGAGGAACACCAGUGGCGAAGGCGGCUUGCUGGACGAUAACUGACGUUGAGGCUCGAAAGCGUGGGGAGCAAACAGGAUUAGAUACCCUGGUA
This 433-nucleotide ribosomal RNA is filed under the name uncultured Lachnospiraceae bacterium. RNAcentral describes it as "partial 16S ribosomal RNA". It matches the Rfam family "Bacterial small subunit ribosomal RNA", at positions 341 to 792 of the family's 1533-position model. Lineage: Bacteria; Bacillati; Bacillota; Clostridia; Lachnospirales; Lachnospiraceae. The record is from RNAcentral.